Long non-coding RNA from Bos taurus (domestic cattle), 1243 nucleotides. Lineage: Eukaryota; Metazoa; Chordata; Mammalia; Artiodactyla; Bovidae. The record is from Ensembl.
GUGUGCAUUUAUAAAGAAGGACAGUUACUGUUGGAGGACUUUCCCCUCCCCCAGUUCUUCCUCAAGUACAUCCAGCUAGGAGGGUUUUCAGCCCUUUUUGUCUUUUUACGAUUUAGCAAGAUCAGACACAUUUCUGCAAUGCAUAUGCAGAUUUCACCUCUUGUUACUUUCUCUAAUGAACGUUCACUUAAUCAAUUUGACAGAUGCCUUUAUCCCCCUCCCCUUUUUCCCUGCUUCACUUUCACUGAGAAAGUUUACAGGAAAAAAAAAGUGUUAACAGAUUCAAGGGGGCAUUAGAAAUGUGAAAGGGUAGCCGACCAAGAUGGGGUGGAUGAGGGCUUUUCAAUGGCCCUGCUCUCCGGCCACCAGCUCUGUCCAGUCCUGAAACCAGGAAGCAGGUCUGCCAGCCUCAUAAGAAAGCAGGUAUUUUAAUAGCUGGCAGGAAAUGAUUUUCCUUUUCUCUUCAAAAGUCAAAAAGAAUGGUUAUUUAACACAACAUUUAAGCAUAAUACUUUCUUAUCUCCCCGUGCCCCUAUUCGGCCCAAAGCACCUUAAAAAAUAUUUAUGCAAGAGAUAAUCUUGUCGGACUUUCUGGGUGGUCCAGUGGUUAAGAAUCCAAUGCAGGGGAUGCUGGUUCGAAGGUUCAAUCCGUGGUCAGGGAACUAAGAUACCACAUGCCUCAGGGCAGCUAAGCGCGAGCAUCUCAACUAAGACUGGUGCAGCCAAAAUCAAAUAUUUUUCUUAAGAAGAGAAAGACAAUCUUGCUAUAAGAAAAGAGCAACCAAUCCACACUGGCACUCUCCCAUCAAAUUUCCCAGGCACCUAAAUCUCACGACCCAAGCUGGGAGUGGGGAGUGCAGGGGCAAAGACCUGGCUGAAUCUGUUCGCUCCAAGGAGAGCCUUCAGCUGGAAGUCCCCCGAGGUCUGCGAGUGAGCAAUACUUCAGCCAAAGCCUGGCUUCAGCCAGGAUGCCUUGAAUUCUAAGAGCUGCACUGACAUUUUCAAGAAGCCAAACUGAGUAGAUCCACAACUGAAGAAUCUGCAUUAUAUUAUCUGAACUCUGUUUCUUGUUAGAAAAGCAGAAUGGCAGGCCUCAUCCCAAGACCUAUUGAACAAGUAUCUGCGUUUUAACAAGAUCCCCCAAGUGAUUGAUAUGCACAUUUCUUUAAUUACCUGAGAAUCUUUGAGAAAGUAGAGAUAUAGAGUACCCUUAUGGAUUCUAUUUGUUUUCUGUCUUCUAAUC